CCUACGGGAGGCAGCAGUGAGGAAUAUUGGUCAAUGGGCGCGAGCCUGAACCAGCCAAGUAGCGUGAAGGAUGACUGCCCUACGGGUUGUAAACUUCUUUUAUAAAGGAAUAAAGUGAGGCACGUGUGCCUUUUUGUAUGUACUUUAUGAAUAAGGAUCGGCUAACUCCGUGCCAGCAGCCGCGGUAAUACGGAGGAUCCGAGCGUUAUCCGGAUUUAUUGGGUUUAAAGGGAGCGUAGAGGGGUGGUUAAGUCAGUUGUGAGAGUUUGCGGCUCAACCGGAAAAUUGGAAUUGAUACUGGGAGUGUGGAGUACAGUUGAGGGAGGCGGAAUGCGUGGUGUAGCGGUGGUAUGCUUAG
Molecule: ribosomal RNA, 358 nt
Filed under: uncultured bacterium
Lineage: Bacteria
Description: partial 16S ribosomal RNA
Rfam family: Bacterial small subunit ribosomal RNA
Source: RNAcentral